This 845-nucleotide long non-coding RNA is filed under the name Aquilegia coerulea. RNAcentral's name for it is "long non-coding RNA (ACOE_LNC000576)". Lineage: Eukaryota; Viridiplantae; Streptophyta; Magnoliopsida; Ranunculales; Ranunculaceae. The record is from RNAcentral.
AAAAACGGAAAAUAUCGCGGAUAUCCGACCUCCUGUGUCGGAUUUUAUUGGUUUGGCAAAUUCAAAAAAAUCGGUUUAACAUCUCUCUCUCUCUUCAUUCAUUACUUUCGCAUUUUCUUUUCUUUAUCGCUGUUUCUCUGCACUGAUGGUUAUUAUUAGGGUUUCUUCACUUCUUCAUCUCUCUUCGUUCUUCUUCAGAUCUCUUCUUCUACUCAUUUCUUAAAUCUUAUUCAUUCAAUCUUUUAACUUUGAACUGAUUUCAUUGUUUUCUACUUCAAUCAACAAACUUCGAACUGAAAACGAACUAAAAACAAAGCUAUGGAGAAGAAAUUUAAACUCAUUUCAUUUGAUUUCGAGUUUAAAGAAGCGAUUUAAAGUGAAGAUCUUGGUUAUAUCGAGUUCGAUUGAAGUUUAAUUAGCAAUUUCGAAAGAGAGUUUUAUGAUUGAGAUUUUCAAUUUAAACGGAUUAAGAAGGGAAAAUUGAAAGGUGGAGAAUGAAGAUAAGAACAAAUUGUUGUAGAAAAAAGGAGAGAUUGUUAAUUACAGUAGCUUUUAUCAAAGAAAAGACGAAUUAGUGAAACUGUGAACCUACCAAAAAUGCCUUAUAUGUGACAUUUGGCAUUAAAGCUUCUGUUUCAGAAACGUUUAGUUUUGGCUGGUAAUACGGAGUUAACAAAGAGAGAGAAUCUCAAAGAAACUAAUUGAUAGUCUUUUUAUCUUUUAGUUUCUUCAUUUACUUAACUCACUUGUUUUCAGUUUCAAAUAUUCGCGAAAAUUUCAUAAAUUUCGAUAAAUAUCGGGUUUUGCCGAAUUAUGCCGCGAAUAUCCGAUAAAUGCCGAUCGGC